UACGUAGGUGGCGAGCGUUGUACGGAUUUAUUGGGCGUAAAGCGAACGCAGGCGGGAGAACAAGUCAGCUGUGAAAGCCCUCGGCUUAACCGGGGAAUGUCAACUGAAACUGUUUUACUUGAGUGCAGAAGAGGAGAGUGGAACUCCAUGUGUAGCGGUGAAAUGCGUAGAUAUAUGGAAGAACACCAGUGGCGAAGGCGGCUCUCUGGUCUGUAACUGACGCUGAGGUUCGAAAGCGUGGGUAGCGAACAGG
RNAcentral lists this ribosomal RNA (253 nucleotides) under uncultured bacterium. Its description in RNAcentral is "partial 16S ribosomal RNA". It matches the Rfam family "Bacterial small subunit ribosomal RNA", at positions 524 to 776 of the family's 1533-position model. The record is from RNAcentral.